GUGAGGAAUAUUGGUCAAUGGGCGAAAGCCUGAACCAGCCAUGUCGCGUGAAGGAUGAAGGUCCUAUGGAUUGUAAACUUCUUUUGUAGGAGGGUAAAGUGAGCUACGUGUAGUUCAUUGCAAGUACCCUGCGAAUAAGCAUCGGCUAACUCCGUGCCAGCAGCCGCGGUAAUACGGAGGAUGCGAGCGUUAUCCGGAUUUAUUGGGUUUAAAGGGUGCGUAGGCGGACUAAUUAGUCAGCGGUGAAAUUUUGCGGCUCAACCGUAAAACUGCCGUUGAAACUGUUAGUCUUGAGUGCGGUAGAGGUAGGCGGAAUGUGUGGUGUAGCGGUGAAAUGCUUAGAUAUCACACAGAACACCGAUUGCGUAGGCAGCUUACUGGAGCGCAACUGACGCUGAGGCACGAAAGCGUGGGGAUCGAACAGGAUUAGAAACCCCGGUAGUCC
Molecule: ribosomal RNA, 445 nt
Filed under: uncultured bacterium
Lineage: Bacteria
Description: partial 16S ribosomal RNA
Rfam family: Bacterial small subunit ribosomal RNA
Source: RNAcentral